GACAUUUCACCACUUGUUGAUUUGUUGCUUCAACAUGUUGCUAGUUCUUGUGUGUAUUUUUAAUUGCAAUAUUUAACUGUUAAUAAUUUAAUUUUAUUUUGUGUUUUGUGUUCAAAGAGUGAGGUUGCAUUUCUGCUUCUAAUUAUAAUUAAAAUUCAAAUAAUGAAAUUUUCAUUGGCUCAAACAAAUCAUGUUCUCUGAUUAUUCACAUUUCAUACAAGAAACUUAAAUAUUUAUUUGAGUCCCAUAGCUGUGUUCUUUAAUUUGCAUUUCACUUGGUGAUAACAAAAAAAAAAUCGUUUCUGUUGCCUAGUGUCUUGAAAAUUAAAUUGCAAUACUGCAAUUAUUCGAAAAAAAAAAACAAUAUUGAAGAAUAUUGUUCAAACCACAUAAAUUGCAAACUCAGCAAUUCUUAUGGGUCAUUGGGCUGGAAUUUCAUUUAAAUUUGCAUACAUAGUCUAGAAUAAUUCCAUGGAAUUGAUAUCUCGGUUGGAUUUCAAAUUUUCAUGUAUUCAUUUUAUUAUAUUCGAUGUAAUAGUACGAAUUGGAUGUGGUUGAUGUGGCUCAAAGAUUCAGACAAAAGGAAAAGAAGUUAUCACCAUCUAAAUUUAUAUGGCACCGACACGGUUCUAAAACAUGAAAGUGAAUUCAAGAUGAAAUUACAAGAAACAAGAUGCUAGUGAUUCGAUAAUGAAGACUUCAAAGAAAUUAAAAGUUACCAAUGGGAAACGGCUUUAUAGGAAAAAAAAAACUCAAAGUGGUCAUCAUCUGUACACAGGGCUGAAAAUGAGACCAAUAUGGGAAAACAUCAAAGCCACACAUGUUCCGUAUAUCAAAUAAGGCUAAUAGUUUCAAAUUUCGAGAAAUUUUAGUUGAAGAUUUUAUGGGCCAUCAUGUAUGUAUAUAAAUGGUACUAGCGCAAAGCUAAAGUGAGCCUAAUUUAAAGAAACUCACAUGACACUAGUUAACACUAGUUUUUAACUUUAAUAGCCUGUUGGUCUAUAAAAGAGAAUAACUCUUCAGUUUUUAUGAUUGCUAUGGAUGCAGAAUUUCACCCUAUGUAUAGCAGAUUCAAAAUCACCCUGUUGGCUUUAUUUUUCAAUCGCAUUUAAAGUGCAAGAAUAAAAAAGGAAAGUUUAUAUUGAUUCAAUUUAGUCAUUUGACAAGGUAUUUUUAAAUGCUGAAUCUAUCCCGAUUCGAUCUCCAUUAAAAUAAUCCUUUUUACAAGAAGGUGAAUAUUUUGUCAAUCCAACGAGUAAAAUAUAAGGAAAACCCUUUUAAAAUGUAUGGUGUGCUAAUAAAAUAUGGUAAAAUUACAUAUAAAAAUCAAGCUCACACAAAAUCUGCAGAAUAUGGAUAAAAUACAUAUAAACUCAUUCUUACAUUAAAUAAAAGAUCGUAAGUUCUAAUUAUAAUUAUAAGCCAACACAUAUAUAAAUAAGUACUAAAAUAGUUAUUAAUUAUAAAUAUUUAGUAUGUAUUAAUCUGUAGUGUUUGAAGAGAUACAUUCUUACUCAAAAAAUUAAAUUAGUUUUUCUAAUCAACAUAUUAAAAAGACUAUACAAACAUUCAAAACAAACUUUUAAAGUUAUCAGAGAAAAUAAUUAAAAUCAUGAUAUUGAUUUUAUUUUUAGAAUAUGUUACACAAAAAAAUGCCCAAAAAAUAUAUUAGAUCAAGUAUUAAAUUCCCUUUCCCACAAACACUACAGAUUUUAUUUAAAUUUAUGAUAAAUGAUAAAAUUUUUUUGAGAAAUCAAAAUCAUAAAUGAAAUUAUUACAAUUUUUGUAAUUUUUUAAAAGACAAGUAUGUGUCAUUAUGGCAAAAAAAAAAUGUAUAUUAAUCAUGAACUCAGGUAGUAAGACAAAUUCAAAUAGGCAAAUUUAAAUUAUAAUUUCCAAAAGAGCAAUAUUCUAAAGUUACUAUCAGACGAUUUGUGAAUAUACACAUAUUUCAUUUGUGUAUACCAUUAAAUAUUUCCUAAUAAAUUCAAACAAAAAUGUCAUUUGUAUCUGUGUAUAAAAUAUACAAAUGAUACACAAAUCGUUUUUUGAUGGCAUCAAUGUUCAUCAAAUUUUUCGGUCAAAUGAUUUGCACGGUUUUUUAAAACAAAAAUACAAACUUUAUUUGUGUAUACAUAAAUCGUCUGAUAUUAGCUUAAUUCCAAUCUAUUUGUUUAAACACUAACUUCAUCAUUAAUUUAUUUUUCAUGAACAUUAUUUGUUAACUCUGAUUUUUAUUUAUCAAAUUAGUGAUAGUUUCCAGUCUUCUUUUGUAUUCUAUUAUCUUUGCUAGUACGUACCUUUUUUAUGCUGACAAAAAAAAAAAAAACAAAACUUGUUUGAUUUUUUAUCGCACUCAUUCUUUAUGCAUUUCGCUGACAUAUUUAUAGAUAGUGCUAUUGCCAUACCUAAAUAAUAUUUUAUUGCAAGGCUCAGCAAUUAUAUACGAAUUUAAAAUAAAACCCGUCAACGACAUCAUCGAAGCAAAUUCCAUGGAAUUGCUUACGAUGUGAAACCACAAGUCAACGACAUCGUUGAUGCUUAUUUAACAAAAAAAUAAGGUGUCAGUUAUUUAUUUGAAUUCAAUGUUGGCUUUAAUUUUCAUUGGACACCAAAUGUGUGUAAUAUACAUAUGUAGUUACUUUAUUGUUGGCAACAUGAGAAUAUCAAGGAAAUCGGACAAUGAACUUUAUAAAUUAAAUAAAUACAAGAUAUUUUAUAUACAUAGGUAUAUGAGGAUUGAAUAAACAAAUGGUCGUGUUUCCACUUUUCAUGUUUUCCAUUUGUUUAGGAAAACUGCAAAACCCCUUAUUUCUUAUAUAAAAUUACCGUUUAAAAACUGAAUUUCAUAAAAACCGUGCAUAUUUGGCAAAUUUUUUUUGUUGCAAUUUAUGAAUAUUUUGUUUAGGUUGAAAUACUGCCUUUUGUUUAUUUACUCCUCAUAUAAUAAAAAUUCGAUAUAUUCUUGCGGCUGAAGAUCAAUUGAAAUUUAUGUGCUGCUGACUAGAGUUUAUUUUUUUUGUCUUUGAAAUGGAAUUCGAAAUCAAUAAAUAUUUUGUUAAUUUAUUUUAAUGCUCAAGUUCUCGUACUAUGACUGGUGAUAAAUUAUGUUUUUUAUUGCAUUCAGAAGGUCUGUUUUUUUUUUUUUGUAACUCUGAUAGUCACACACUCUUUAUUGUCGGCUAUUUAUUUAAGUGGCAUUAAGGCUCAAUAUGUUUACUUUGCCGAUACGUAGGAAAAUAUUGUCUUAUUUCUUUAACUUGAAAUCAGUCUAGAUAGUGGUGAGAUUCUGAGCUCCAAAGUGUGUGUAGCAAAGUAUCUUUUAAGAAGUCGCAUCCAAGCGACAUCACUCUAUAUUCCGUAAACGCAACUAUCGAACAGAGACAAAUCAAUUCCUAGACAAAUGAAAUAUGAUGCUAGCAUAAACAAUUUGAGACCUUUCAUGAGAAUCUUCGUUUGUGGUCUUUCACACCAAAAUGCAAAUCUCAUGUUCGCAAUAUGAUCCUAUGUCGUUGUUUUGUUAUUUGGUUGAUAAUAGUUCGGUUGUCUUUCCUUUGAAAGUGUAAAAUUAAACAUUAAGUCAUAGGGUAUAGAACUAUGUCAUGUGUCUUGGAAGCGAUUCUUGAGAAUUGUGAGUGGUCUUUAAUUUAAGGGCACAAUACUCCUCUUCCCUUAAAAUAUAAAAAAGCGUACAAGGUGACGAUUAAGAUCUUUCGGGUUAAAGUGCGGAUUUCUGGAUUUCAGCUACUCUUACCACUUUAUCUGCCCAGGAAAGAUUUGUAUAACUCUUCCUAAUGGCCAUUUCAUGAUAGGGCAAUUGUCUUCUUUGAUGAUGACUAAGAUUCCAGGAAGCAAAUUUUCAUGUUUGCGCUGCCCUUUAUGCCUUUGUUGAAGUUCAUUGAGGUAUUCAACGUGCCAUCUUUUCCAAAAUUCUUUUUUUAUAUUUGAAAUGACAUUAAAUAGUUUUGAGGGAUUAACUUCCAGUGUGUUUGCAAUUGGAUCAAUUGGAUUGGUCAAUGGUUCCCCUACGAUGAAAUGACCUGGAGUGAGAGCCAUCAAAUCAUUGGGAUUGUCUGACAUAGAAGUGAUAGGUCUGGAGUUCAUAACUUCUUCGAUUACAAUUAUGAUUGUUUCAAGUUCCUCAUAGUGUCAAUGAGUUUCCACCAAGACAGCGAUAUAGAAAAUGUUUUGCUGACUUCACGGCCGCCUCCCAUAACCCUCCAAAAUGAGGUGCUCUUGGAGGAAUAAAGUGAAAUUCUAUUCCGCUUGCGGAAAUAGUAUUUUGGAUCUUUUCUUUAGACGCGUGUGUGUGUUUAUGUUCUAUCAUUUCUUGUAGUUGAUUGUUGGUUUGUUGCAUUGUCACAGGUGUGACAUUAUCAAUAUCCAGGUCCAACUGUAAAGCUAAGUCUUCAGUGAGCAUAUUUCUCAAAAGAUUUUGAUCGUUGGCACUCCAUUUUCGCAAAGUUAAGCUAGUGGUUUUCAAUAAUAAGUUUAACUGCUCUCGCAUCUCUAAGCUUUGUGAUUAACUAUCGGACCCUGCCAUUACAUCAUCAUCAAAAAUUUGUACUUAGGACGUUUGCCCCAAGAGGAUAUUUGUUUGCACUUUCUGAAGCCAACCCUUGUAUACACUUUGUGGCCAAGUAUGGAGAUGAUGUUGUACCGUAUUAUGACUGUUUUGACCUGAUAUGUUUGCAAUUCUUCUGUUGGAUGAUUUCGCCAUAGGAUGGUUUUUGUACUGAUUGUUUAAAUGGUUUUUGUACUGAUUGUUCUAACUUUCUCACUUGCUGGUUAGUGAAAGACAUUUAGUGCGCUUGCAUAUUGGGUUAAUGGUUCCUUGGUGAAUUUAGGUAUUAUGCUACUUAAAUUGAGUUGUGGCUUGUAGGAUGAAUGAUGUGUUAAGACUUGUUGUGUAUGAUUCGUGAGCUGUGAUUACCAACGUAUCCACUUAAGGUUAGCAUUUUGGCCCUUAAGUGAGUACCUAUCCUAUCAUUAAUUAGAGUGACAGUAAAUACUUAUUCCUUAUAUAUUUUAAUUUACUUUUUUUUCGGUUUUGGGCAUUAUUCUUGUAUUGAAUUUUCUGGAUUAAAUGGAUAUAUCCCUGUGGAUUCAAAUCCUAACAUAAUAUUUUUAGAUGUUAAAUUAUUCCUCCAAAUCGGUCUCAGAAGUGCAGAAAAUUCGCUUUUUGGGAGUCGACAGCUAUUGGUGGUGGUAUGAAAGUGUGGUCCUAUUGUUGGUAUAUGCUUGCUCACCACGCUAUAUUGUAAGCAUUCUUGGAAAACUGUUGGACGAAAUUUUAAGUCCAGAUAGGGGUCACUUAAGUUCUUGUUCAAUUUAGAAAAAUGUUUGUUUUUAUGCGCAAAUUAUUUUAAUAACAUUUAUACAUUUGUAAUAAUAUUAUUUUGUUUAUGUUUGUGUACAUAAUUUUUUAAAAUAUUUGUUAAUUUUGUAUGGGUUGUAAAGGAUGGUGAUGAUGGUUGCGGCUGUUGCCACUGAUUCUGGAAUUAUUGGCAUGUUUAAUUGUUUUUGGACAUUGUUGUUACUAACUACUGUUUUGGUUGUUUUUCCAAUAAUGCUGGUUCUUUAGUGCUUUCAUCUUGUUGAUUAGUAUCGUGUUUUGUCAUUGUCUGUAGUGAGUGUUUUCCUCCACGGACUCGGUUUCGUUUUGAUUUUAAUUUCUUUUCUGCUGUUCCUUCCUUGUUUGCCUUAGAUCUUGUUUUUGGUAUUGUUGCCUUUCUUGAUAUUAAAGGAUUGUAAUUGGUUUUGUAGUGACGGACAUUAUUUUUAAAUGGAUUUCUUCUACUAUCCCCUUCUGUACGAGGGAGCUUGAUUUCCGUAAGCUCUGCAAUUGUUUAUAGAGUGUGAUUUUUUAAAAGGCUUAUCCUCAGAAAAACUGCGAAACUGCGUGUAUAACUAAAAUUUUUUUUUGUUUCCUUUUACCUUAAAAGAUAAUUAUUUGUUGUGAUAUUAUUGAUUGUGUUUGUUCGGGAAAUUAUGCUUCCGGAUUGUCCAGGGUAAACUGAAAGUCUUCUUUAAAGUUAAAUAAGUAACCAAUGUUUUUCGAAGCAUCUUUUGAAAUGUUGUUUUUUUUUAAAGAUGACCAGAUCACAGUGUUGCACUAUAACUGAUGUAUACUCACAGUGAAACACUUUGAUUAUGAAGUUAGUUGUAUAGAUUUCCAAAAAGUCUAGGUGAAACAUCAAGAUCUUUGUAAUCGAUGAAGAAUUGAAGAAUCAAAGAGUUAAGUGACCUACGACGUGUGUGAAUAACUCAAUUAGUCUAGUGAACUGUAAUAUUCUAAGUGUCUUUAUUCUUCGUUUAACUUUAUAUUUCUACAAUCUUACAAGUUAAGAAAUUCAAGAUUACCCUAUAAUUACUUAUGAACACUGAAUUUUUCUUAUUUUGCGGAACUUGCAAAUUUGAUUGCUUGCAAGUUCCGCAUUACAUUUUAUUGUUUAUAUUCUUUAUUUAUGUUUGUCUAAACAACGUGGGAGCGACGUCCAAAUGUUUGCCAUAUCAUACCAAUGUUUAUUUGUUCUAAGAACUGUAGAUAGUCGCAAUCUCAUCCGCUGCUGUAUUUAUCUAACAUAACAGUUUUUGUCCAGCAGUCUUUAGUGUCGGUGUAUAUUUAAUUGGCGGGGUUGGGCCUUCGGAAAAGUAUUUUUUGACCUAGUUCUUUUUUAAUUCUUCUAGGUAUUUUCCAAAAUCUCAAAGUCCUUACGAUUAUGUUUGAAAGGGAUCGACGUGACCUAGCUUCGCUAUUUAUUAGUUAUUUUAGUUCUCUACCUAAGAUAAUUGAACAUACUCCCGCCAUUGCCAUCAUUGAAAAUUUGCAAUUUGAUGGUGUUAGGGUUAUGCUGCUCCUCAGGAACCUCGUCAAUGGAAAUUGGUAGAAUUAUUGUGGUAGGAUUCGCAUUUAUGACGAUGCUGUAUGUUGCAAGUGGUGCUUCUUCAUGGUAUAUCAACUGGGUACAAAGAUUUGACAUUAUUCACCAGUAUCUUCAAAACCUGUACAAUGUAUGUACAUCAGACUUUGGGUCAUCUCAUAUUAGAAAAUUUUACGUCGAGGAGGCACAUUGAUGUCUGAUAUUUUUAUGACUUUGUGAAUUGACCUCUUGAUGACCUCACUUCCUGUCGGAGAAGCCUCAUAGCCCUACUGCUUACAUUCAAUGUUUUAAAAGCAUGUUUCCUCUUUACUACUUUUUCCACCUAUCGCCUUUUAAGAUGUUAUAUCUUUUAUUUAUCUAAAAAGGAAACCCGUAGCUAUUCCAAAUAUGGAUUAAAAGACCUUGGUGGUUUUAUAGCAAUAUAAUUGAUUUUUCAAUCUUAAAUUAUUUCAAUCCUUGCGCCAAAAUGUUAUAAGUAACUAUUAAAUGUUAUAAUAGGGGUUUCGCAACUUAUCGUGUCAUUUUAGUCGCAAACCCAACUUCCUCAGUGGAUAAUCGAGUUCUAAAAGGUAAUUUUCAUUGUAUCUCAGUUUUUCUAUUUGUUUGUUGUGAAACUUAGCAUAAUCUUCAUCCAGUGUUUCGAAUAAAGUUUUGCUAACUAUUCCGACAAUAUUCACUAAUGCCCUUUUGCUUCUAGAUUUAGGUUUAGGUUUGGAUUGUAUAAAGCUAAAUUCAACUUAAUAUCUUCCAUCAGUGUUACGACUCUGCCGUACUUCGGUGUGUGUCAUAAUCGAUCGCAGUUUGCAGUUGGAAGGUGUCACAUUACACAAUGCACUUUCAAGAAGCGCAUUGUUUUGUUUACGUUGUGUAGACUUACUUGUACAAUGUUUUGUUUUUUCAUGGAAUCAAUGUGAUAAUAUUUUUCAAGUAAACUUCGGAAAUAUUCAAAGCAGGAAUAAAUGAAUUAUAGACAUAAGUUGAAUUCUCGUUUUUAGAUCGUAUAGUCAGAUCUUUUGACCUUAGGAAACAAUUACCUGUAAGUUAUAGGAUAGAUGUUCCUUCUAAAGAGUGAGUUAUGACUCUGUCUUGGCAUAUUUCGUCUAUGAUAUAUUUCCCUAAAGAAGAAAAUAACGAUGUACUGGGCUGUGAUACUUGUAUGAAAACUGUUGAAAUGGAUGGUUUCUUAUAGUAAUGUUUAUGUUUUUAUUUUAUUUCUGUGUUUGAGUGUGUGUGUUUUUGUAUUCAUUUAUUAAAACAUAUUAUGUGUAUUUUUUUUUAUUAAAUAUUCAUAAUUCUCUACUUUUCGUUACUUUGGUAAUACAACUUUUGAAUAAGGUGGAAAAGAGUAAUACGAGUGUUUUCUUUUCCAAGGAUUUGGUUCAUCUGAAUAUCUUCUUCGAUAUGUCGGACAUAUAGAGAGAUCAAAAUUCUCCUUUUCUAUUCCGAAGCAAAUAUUAUCCCCGAACUUGACAUCCAAGACACGCUGAUGGGCUACUUUUUUUCCGUUGAUGUAUGUACCUUUUGAAUUUUCUAAAUCGGUAAUCCAUAUAUUGGUAUCAUCUGGACUUAUUUCUAUCAUAGCGUUAAUGUUUGACACAAGCUCAGUUGGAAUACAUAGCUUGUUGGAGUUGUCGCUGCCGAUCUCGGUUAUACCUUUUCUAAGUGGAAUCUCCACAUUAGUCACUGUGUUGUAAAGCAACCAAUAGGAAUCUGGCUGGUAGUCGAUGGAUUCCAUCUUUAGAUGAAAUCCAGUACAAAUCGAGUCGUGCUUGAGUUAGGCUAGUACCAACCUGGUGUACUGGGUGCUUCUUCAUUUUUUAGAAGUACUAGGUUCCAGAAUUGGAAUACCAGGUUCUAAAAUUAGUGACGUCUGCUACCUCAGACUGUAGUUUAUAGUGACGUCUGCUAUCUCAGACUAUAAUCUAUAGUGACGUCUGCUAUCUCAGACAGUAAUCUAUGGUGACGACUGCUAUCUCAGACUGUAAUCUAUAGUGACAUUUCCUAUCUCAGACUGUAAUUUAUAGUGGACAUUGCUAAUGCUAACUCAGCCAAACUAGAAUUAAAUUUAUGAAAUUGAAUUGAAAUGAAUUAUUGUAAAACAUCGAGGUUAAAUUUUGUUUCUUUAUCCUUUAGUUCCUCUAAUUUCCGUUGUUUUUCUAGAAGAAAAAAUUUGUUUAUCAAGCCCAGAAAUUGUUUCUUCGGCUUGUUUAUUGAUACUUUCUGCCUCUUGCUGAUUUACCUUGUAUUUUGCUCGCGUUUUGUUAAGGCAAUUGUUUUUAUUUCCUUUUUGAGCUCAAGGAUUUGGCUUUCCCGUUCUUUCCGUUGGUUCCUUACUGAGUCUAUAUAUAUUGUUAGGAUGGCGUCAGUGGUUUCUAGUCUAGUGAAUUGACCCCACUGUACACUGAGUGAGUUAAAAUUUAACUCAUAAACUUCUCUACCAACUAGUGAUUUUAAUUCAGCUAGUAACGUAGUGUUGAAGUUAGUUAUCUCUUGUGCUUGCUACUCCCUUUCUUUUUCCAAUUGUUUAUUUAAAUCAAGAAUUCUUUCUAGGUCUAAACUAGACUGUUCAGCCAUAAAAUGAAAAUUGACACAAACAGAGUGAAUUCUCAACUAGAUAUAAAUAAACAAUUGAAAACGACUUAAAAUAAAAAUAGAGUGAAACAAAUCGAAAAUGAUAAACUGCAAAUCUGUAAAAAUAGAGUAAAUCCUGAAAUAAAACCAAUUGAAAACAGCAUUAUAGGAUAAUAACCAGAAAAAUUUAUCAGAAGAAAUAGACCUAAGACUACAAUUGUAUCAAUAAAAAAAAAACAUUUUUUUUUUUAAUUUAUUAUUGUUUUUUUAUUUUUUUUUUACAACAUAUUAUAAUUUUUUUUUUUAAAUUGAAGAUAACUUCUUUUUCUCAGUUUUUUCCUUCCUCUUAAGGAAUUCCUGAGUUUUCAAUGUUUUAGCUUCUUGUAGCAGGCGUUUCUUUUCUUCUCCUCUGCAAAGUCCCGCCAGCUGGUACAGUCUACCUAGUUCCUGGCGGACCCAGACCUGGUGUCCUCCUCUUUUUUUCUUGUUGUCGUAUCCUCCAAAUGGGACCUUGGGAGGAUUACUUCUUGGUUUUGGCAAUUCUUCUACCUUUUAAUGUCUCCUACGGUAUUCCUCUAAUGUAAUCGGUUUUGGUCCAGCUUUGGGUUCCUUUUCGAUGUGGUUGGUAAGUUGCAAAUUUUUACAUUCCAUUAUCUGUGUGGAAAUGCAUUUCCUCCUGCCUUUUAAAUAUAGUAUCCCUAUUGUUCUCUACUACCCAGCUGUUAGGCACACUGGAGGUCAGUUAAUUUGAGGCGACUAGGCCUACUAGAAUGGAGAAAAUAAAAAAGAU
Episyrphus balteatus (marmalade hoverfly) is the source of this 10245-nucleotide long non-coding RNA. RefSeq lists it as uncharacterized. The record is from RefSeq and is a predicted model, not a curated record. NCBI's taxonomy places the organism in Eukaryota, Metazoa, Arthropoda, Insecta, Diptera, Syrphidae. The transcript is spliced from 5 exons.